This 134-nucleotide small RNA is filed under the name human gut metagenome. RNAcentral describes it as "ydaO/yuaA leader". It matches the Rfam family "c-di-AMP riboswitch aptamer (ydaO/yuaA leader)", at positions 12 to 118 of the family's 134-position model. Rfam says of the family: This family represents a conserved RNA structure found upstream of the ydaO and yuaA genes in Bacillus subtilis and related genes in other bacteria. The ydaO/yuaA element is thought to act as a genetic "off" switch for the ydaO and yuaA genes in its native state. It is believed that the element may be triggered during osmotic shock leading to activation of ydaO, a predicted amino acid transporter gene, and members of the yuaA-yubG operon which code for KtrA and KtrB K+ transporters. The record is from RNAcentral.
UAAUAAAAGCCGAAUCUUAUUUUUAAAAAUAAGUACGGGGGAACCGAUAUAGAUAGGGGUGAAUCCGCGUAUAUGCGGUAGGGCGUUCUGACUAUUCUCUUUUGCCCGAAUCCGACAGCUAACCCCGGAGGCAA